AUUGGACGCUGGCGGCAGGCCUAACACAUGCAAGUCGAGCGGAUGAAGGGAGCUUGCUCCUGGAUUCAGCGGCGGACGGGUGAGUAAUGCCUAGGAAUCUGCCUGGUAGUGGGGGAUAACGUCCGGAAACGGGCGCUAAUACCGCAUACGUCCUGAGGGAGAAAGUGGGGGAUCUUCGGACCUCACGCUAUCAGAUGAGCCUAGGUCGGAUUAGCUAGUUGGUGGGGUAAAGGCCUACCAAGGCGACGAUCCGUAACUGGUCUGAGAGGAUGAUCAGUCACACUGGAACUGAGACACGGUCCAGACUCCUACGGGAGGCAGCAGUGGGGAAUAUUGGACAAUGGGCGGAAGCCUGAUCCAGCCAUGCCGCGUGUGUGAAGAAGGUCUUCGGAUUGUAAAGCACUUUAAGUUGGGAGGAAGGGCAGUAAGUUAAUACCUUGCUGUUUUGACGUUACCAACAGAAUAAGCACCGGCUAACUUCGUG
This 484-nucleotide ribosomal RNA is filed under the name uncultured bacterium. Its description in RNAcentral is "partial 16S ribosomal RNA". It matches the Rfam family "Bacterial small subunit ribosomal RNA", at positions 30 to 507 of the family's 1533-position model. The record is from RNAcentral.